RNA transcript from Adelges cooleyi (spruce gall adelgid), 2319 nucleotides. RefSeq lists it as uncharacterized. Lineage: Eukaryota; Metazoa; Arthropoda; Insecta; Hemiptera; Adelgidae. The record is from RefSeq and is a predicted model, not a curated record. The transcript has 4 exons.
UUUUUUUUUCGUCAAAGCUUUCAUUGAUCAUUGUAGUUUGUUUGUUAUUGUUGAUGGUUUUUUUUCUCUACUACUGUCGAUAAUAAUAAUAUAAUAAUAUUAUGUCCCACCGUGGUCGAAACGCUCUUAUUAUCUCGUUCGACACGGGCUUUUAACCUCGACGCCUACUAUUAUAUUAUUAUUAUUAUUAUUAUUAUUAUUAUUAUUAUUAUUAUUAUUAUUAUUACUACAACUACUAAAAACGACUGAACAAAAACGGUACGCCUGGCUCGAAUGUAGAUAACGAAUAAAAAAAAAAAAACAACUGCCAUAGAGAACACGACCGGCAAACACAAUAUGUGUACGCGAUUUGGUGUGUAGAUAAAAAUAUUAUGACUGCUCGUGAACCACCGCUGUAGAACAACCAGUUGUUUUUGGUCUUGCGAUAUGGGCGGCCAAAGUUCUGCCGUAGCAGUGCGGUCAGUUUGUUAAUAACGAUAAAUAUGAAUAUUGUUACGCCGUAAGUUAUCCAUUAGCCGUAUUUCUAGUAUUAAUACGUACAAUAUUAUAUUAUUAUUACACUUUAUCGUCAUGACGUCCGAACCGGUCGACCUGGGCCUGUGCGACAAAUCCAAAAUACUUCGCAAGCAUCGUAAGAAUAUAUUUAACAAAACAGCGUUGAAGAUGGUAGCUUCAGAAAUGACAACUAAUCCAGAUAAAGAUGCUGCUCAGAGCCAGUAUGUGGAUAUCAGUCCAGAUUUUUUAACUACAGGACGAACGGGAAGGCGCAAUGCUUUGCCAGACAUAUUAGGUGAACAUAAACUUACAACCACCGCCGAUUUACCUGAUCGUCUGCAAGCACUGACGACAAACGAUGAUGCUAGUACAAGCAGUAGUCAACCAAAGACAACGACUGCUGGAGAUUCAGAUUUAUGUAAAUCACAAAAUGCUUCAUGUUGAAGAAAAAAUUCUAUAUGAUUGUGAACACUAAAAAAGUGUUAUCGCCAUUCGUAAAAGUUCCAAAAGAAAAUUGGGUUGGUUAUUUCCAAUUCUGAAUUUGCUUAGUAAAGAUUUAGCUAUUUAGAAUUGAUUCCUAGUCUCUUAACAGCCAGACCAAAGUUAUUUGUUCCUGUUUUCAAAUUAGCGUUUGCAAUAAUUUUUCUUUCAAAACAUCUAACCCUUCUUAUAAUUUAUUGAAAAAUGACAUCUAAGUUUGGAAAAUUGAUUCCUUAAUCAUAGAUAGUAGGUAAUAAUAAUAAUAAUAAUAUUAGUAUUAGUUAAUUACUAAAUCAUGUGAGUCCUAAAUACCUACUUCAUAUUUUAUGUUGUUACAUAAUACUAUAUGUAAUACGCCAUUUUGCCAUCCCAAACGAAACAUAAAAUUUUUGUAUUUUGUUAAAAAAUGUUUAAGAAAAUAAAAUUGCCUUUUAUAAUAUUAUUUUAAUAAAGAAAUCGCACUACUUAAAUUUUUUUCAAGACAGUUAGCAAAAUCUUAUUGGUUUUCAACAGUUUUUUUUUUUUAAUAAAAUAAAAUUACUAUACAAAAUUAUAAUAACUUUUUAAAGAACUAAAUUAAAAAUUAGGAAAAUAGACAAUAAAAUAAAAUGUAUCUAUUUAAAAAAAAAAAAACCAAAAUAGAUAAUAGAAAAUACGUACACUGUAAUAAUUACAUGGUCGGUUUUGUGAUAUUUUUACAAUUUCUUACCCAACGGUCGUUUUUCAAUACCAAUAACUUGUACAUACCAGGAUUGGUCUAAAUUCCUACUAUUAUCGGUAUCUAUUUGAUAAAAUACUUAAUACGAUUCUUAAGUUAAACCAAAUACUAUUAUAUUGUAGUAUGCUAUCCUGAUGAUUUGUUUCUCUUUUAUUUGUUGUUCCUUAGUAAUUGUUUUUAGCGUAAGUUUAAAUUGAGUGGAUCCUAUAAAAUUAGAUUCAUGUUAAAAAAAAAAAACAAAAUAAUUUAUAUAUACUUGUAAUGUUUCCGUUAUCCCAAUAUUAAUUUAGAAAUUUUUACAAAAACCAAGAUCGCCAGUGCUUCAUUUACGGGUGAAAAUUAUUAAUCGUAAGAGUAUAUUUUUGUAUGGAAAAAAAAACGUAACCGUAAUAAUUUUGAUGAAACUUGUAUGCUGCUGUUAUUAGUAGAGUAGUCGUUGAGUGUAAGCACAGCGUGUACCCUAACGACUACGUCACUGCUAGUUAUUAUAAAUUACACAAAUACAAGAAUAAAUUUUAUUUUAGUCUAUAAAAUAACAUUUUCUUUUAACAUUCCUUUAAAAAUAACAAUGUAAAUCACAUUCUGUUACAUUUAUAGUUUAUUGUUGUUUUAAAAAAAAAAAACAA